AGUGAGCGCUGGCGGUAGGCCUAACACAUGCAAGUCGAACGGCAGCACAGUAAGAGCUUGCUCUUACGGGUGGCGAGUGGCGGACGGGUGAGGAAUACAUCGGAAUCUACUUUUUCGUGGGGGAUAACGUAGGGAAACUUACGCUAAUACCGCAUACGACCUACGGGUGAAAGCAGGGGAUCUUCGGACCUUGCGCGAUUGAAUGAGCCGAUGUCGGAUUAGCUAGUUGGCGGGGUAAAGGCCCACCAAGGCGACGAUCCGUAGCUGGUCUGAGAGGAUGAUCAGCCACACUUGAACUGAGACACGGUCCAGACUCCUACGGGAGGCAGCAGUGGGGAAUAUUGGACAAUGGGCGCAAGCCUGAUCCAGCCAUACCGCGUGGGUGAAGAAGGCCUUCGGGUUGUAAAGCCCUUUUGUUGGGAAAGAAAAGCAGCAGGUUAAUACCCCGCUGUUCUGACGGUACCCAAAGAAUAAGCACCGGCUAACUUCGUG
This 492-nucleotide ribosomal RNA is filed under the name uncultured bacterium. RNAcentral's name for it is "partial 16S ribosomal RNA". It matches the Rfam family "Bacterial small subunit ribosomal RNA", at positions 29 to 507 of the family's 1533-position model. The record is from RNAcentral.